RNAcentral lists this ribosomal RNA (247 nucleotides) under uncultured bacterium. RNAcentral's name for it is "partial 16S ribosomal RNA". It matches the Rfam family "Bacterial small subunit ribosomal RNA", at positions 796 to 1041 of the family's 1533-position model. The record is from RNAcentral.
CACGCCGUAAACGAUGGAUGCUAGCUGUUAGGAGUAUCGACCCUUCUAGUAGCGAAGCUAACGCGUUAAGCAUCCCGCCUGGGGAGUACGGUCGCAAGAUUAAAACUCAAAGGAAUUGACGGGGACCCGCACAAGUGGUGGAGCGUGUUCUUUAAUUCGAUGAUAAGCGAAGAACCUUACCAGGGCUUGACAUCCUUGGAAUUUCUGCGAAAGCAGAGAGUACUUUAUUGGACCAAGUGACAGGUGU